RNAcentral lists this ribosomal RNA (624 nucleotides) under uncultured bacterium. Its description in RNAcentral is "bacterial SSU rRNA". It matches the Rfam family "Bacterial small subunit ribosomal RNA", at positions 56 to 678 of the family's 1533-position model. The record is from RNAcentral.
UGCAAGUCGAACGGGGCACCCUUGAAUGAGGUUUCGGCCAAAGGAAAGGAAUGCUUAGUGGCGGACUGGUGAGUAACGCGUGAGGAACCUGCCUUUCAGAGGGGGACAACAGCUGGAAGCGGCUGCUAAUACCGCAUGACGCAUUCGGAUGGCAUCAUCUGAAUGCCAAAGAUUUAUCGCUGAAAGAUGGCCUCGCGUCUGAUUAGAUAGUUGGCGGGGUAACGGCCCACCAAGUCGACGAUCAGUAGCCGGACUGAGAGGUUGACCGGCCACAUUGGGACUGAGAUACGGCCCAGACUCCUACGGGAGGCAGCAGUGGGGAAUAUUGGGCAAUGGGCGCAAGCCUGACCCAGCAACGCCGCGUGAAGGAAGAAGGCUUUCGGGUUGUAAACUUCUUUUAAGAGGGAAGAGCAGAAGACGGUACCUCUUGAAUAAGCCACGGCUAACUACGUGCCAGCAGCCGCGGUAAUACGUAGGUGGCAAGCGUUGUCCGGAUUUACUGGGUGUAAAGGGCGUGCAGCCGGGCAUGCAAGUCAGAUGUGAAAUCUCAGGGCUCAACCCUGAAACUGCAUUUGAAACUGUAUGUCUUGAGUGCCGGAGAGGUAAUCGGAAUUCCUUGUGUAG